UACAGAGGGUGCGAGCGUUAAUCGGAAUUACUGGGCGUAAAGCGUGCGCAGGCGGUUUUGUAAGACAGGCGUGAAAUCCCCGGGCUUAACCUGGGAACUGCGCUUGUGACUGCAAGACUAGAGUGUGGCAGAGGGGGGUAGAAUUCCACGUGUAGCAGUGAAAUGCGUAGAGAUGUGGAGGAAUACCGAUGGCGAAGGCAGCCCCCUGGGCCAACACUGACGCUCAUGCACGAAAGCGUGGGGAGCAAACAGG
RNAcentral lists this ribosomal RNA (253 nucleotides) under uncultured bacterium. Its description in RNAcentral is "partial 16S ribosomal RNA". It matches the Rfam family "Bacterial small subunit ribosomal RNA", at positions 524 to 776 of the family's 1533-position model. The record is from RNAcentral.